AUCCAUCUAACGAGUCUAAAAUAGGACGAAACACGUGUCCUGAAU
Molecule: non-coding RNA, 45 nt
Organism: Schistosoma curassoni
Lineage: Eukaryota; Metazoa; Platyhelminthes; Trematoda; Strigeidida; Schistosomatidae
Source: Rfam